This 721-nucleotide long non-coding RNA is filed under the name Oryza brachyantha (malo sina). RNAcentral describes it as "long non-coding RNA (OBRA_LNC001780)". The record is from RNAcentral. Lineage: Eukaryota; Viridiplantae; Streptophyta; Magnoliopsida; Poales; Poaceae.
AAAGGACUCCUGCUUGACUCUCCGACGGCGAUCUCGACGGUGCCGACAGAACGUACGUCACGUUGAAAGAGUCGACGGAUAGGCCGGUGCAUUGAUGGAUCAGUUUAUUCAGUUGGGAUUACUGCUUCGCUGGCAGUUGGACGAAAUGGUCUACGAGAAUGAUAGACAGAUGCUUUGAGCGUUGCGUUACCGGUCAGCUUGCUGUCAGGACAGAGCACAGUUCGGUUUUGGAACUUUUUGUAAAGAGAGCAGUUGCCAGUAACGGUUACAGUAGUAUGUUCUCAAGUCAACUCUCAAAGCCUCAGGACUAGAAAGUGUACUAUGAUAGACUUUACGAACAGAAGAGAAACCCUCGGCUCAGCCAACAAUGUUCCAUAGCUGAACUUGUAAGUUGUAACUGUCAGAUCAUCGGAUUUGGCCGUUUGUAACAUGAUACCUCGAGGUACAAAAGAAAGGAUGGGAGUAAAACUCUUUGCUGAAACUCAAUGAAGUUGCUUGUCUAGCAGUUGAGCACUCGAAACUUGAAACGAAACGAAAUUGAACUGGAAAUUUACAACCACAGAAAAAUGACAAUGCACAAAACUUGCAGGCCCUAAUUUGCUAAAUAUAAAAUCUACAUACAAGAUAAGAUCAUUAUGCAAAAAAUAGCCCAGAUAUGGGCUGAACAUUUUGAAGCCCAAGUAGAAAUAUUGCAAGCCCAACUUUGAAUGGAUUACAUGAC